CGCGAGUUGCGUCGUCAAACGACUCCACCACUGUCAAACUUGUCGACACACAAAAAAAGACAAGUAUUUUUUAAAUAUUUGUAUUUGUCUGAAAUGUAAGUUGAAUCUUCAGAUUCAACUACAUACAUAUGUACAUAUAAAAUUGUAAUAUAAGAUAUGCCGGGUCGUUGAUGCUGAGGAAUGUCAAGUCAGCACAACGGCUUCAGGUAAAUUUAGCAAGUAAGAUUUUUAUAAAGGUUUCAGGUAAAUUUAGCAAGUAAGAUUUUUAUAAAGGUUUCAGGUAAAUUUAGGAAAUAAGAUUUUUGGUAAAGAAUAAAAUGAUGAUUAAUAAACUGGACGGCAAGCCGCUCAGUACGGUAAA
Bactrocera neohumeralis is the source of this 361-nucleotide long non-coding RNA. RefSeq lists it as uncharacterized. The transcript is spliced from 2 exons. Lineage: Eukaryota; Metazoa; Arthropoda; Insecta; Diptera; Tephritidae. The record is from RefSeq and is a predicted model, not a curated record.